This 240-nucleotide long non-coding RNA is filed under the name Daucus carota (carrot). RNAcentral's name for it is "long non-coding RNA (DCAR_LNC007376)". Lineage: Eukaryota; Viridiplantae; Streptophyta; Magnoliopsida; Apiales; Apiaceae. The record is from RNAcentral.
CUUGGAAACACCUAAAGCUGAAGAGUUCUUAGCUAUGGCAGAGAAGAAAAUUACAAACUCUGAUGUUAUGUCAAGCCUCAAGGGCACAAUUCUAUAUCUGAAGACAUUUCAUCCUGCUCAUGACCAGACAUCUAAAUCUAUAGAUAGUCUAAGAACAGAGGUGGCCAAAGUCAAGGAGACAAAUGACCUGGAAAAGAAAAGGACCAUCAAUCCUAUGAAAGAAAGUGUACAGAAGCUGGU